RNAcentral lists this ribosomal RNA (253 nucleotides) under uncultured bacterium. Its description in RNAcentral is "partial 16S ribosomal RNA". It matches the Rfam family "Bacterial small subunit ribosomal RNA", at positions 524 to 776 of the family's 1533-position model. The record is from RNAcentral.
UACAGAGGGGGCAAGCGUUAUUCGGAAUUAUUGGGCGUAAAGGGCGCGUAGGCGGCUUGGCAAGUGGAAGGUGAAAUCCCUCGGCUUAACCGAGGAACUGCCCUCCAAACUGCUUUGCUUGAGGCCGGGAGAGGCGAGUGGAAUUCCCAGUGUAGCGGUGAAAUGCGUAGAUAUUGGGAGGAACACCAGUGGCGAAGGCGGUUACCUGGAGCUUUGCUGACGCUGAUGCGCGAAAGCGUGGGGAGCGAUCCGG